UGGGGAAUAUUGGACAAUGGGCGCAAGCCUGAUCCAGCCAUGCCGCGUGAGUGAUGAAGGCCUUAGGGUUGUAAAGCUCUUUUGUCCGGGAAGAUAAUGACCGUACCGGAAGAAUAAGCUCCGGCUAACUUCGUGCCAGCAGCCGCGGUAAUACGAAGGGAGCUAGCGUUGUUCGGAAUUACUGGGCGUAAAGCGCAUGCAGGCGGAUCGUUAAGUCGAGGGUGAAAUCCCAGGGCUCAACCCUGGAACUGCCUUCGAUACUGGCGAACUUGAGUCCGGGAGAGGUGAGUGGAACUCCGAGUGUAGAGGUGAAAUUCGUAGAUAUUCGGAAGAACACCAGUGGCGAAGGCGGCUCACUGGCCCGGUACUGACGCUGAGAUGCGAAAGCGUGGGGAGCAAACA
This 402-nucleotide ribosomal RNA is filed under the name uncultured bacterium. RNAcentral describes it as "bacterial SSU rRNA". It matches the Rfam family "Bacterial small subunit ribosomal RNA", at positions 355 to 774 of the family's 1533-position model. The record is from RNAcentral.